RNAcentral lists this ribosomal RNA (1552 nucleotides) under Staphylococcus aureus. RNAcentral describes it as "16S ribosomal RNA". It matches the Rfam family "Bacterial small subunit ribosomal RNA". The record is from RNAcentral. Lineage: Bacteria; Bacillati; Bacillota; Bacilli; Caryophanales; Staphylococcaceae.
UUUAUGGAGAGUUUGAUCCUGGCUCAGGAUGAACGCUGGCGGCGUGCCUAAUACAUGCAAGUCGAGCGAACGGACGAGAAGCUUGCUUCUCUGAUGUUAGCGGCGGACGGGUGAGUAACACGUGGAUAACCUACCUAUAAGACUGGGAUAACUUCGGGAAACCGGAGCUAAUACCGGAUAAUAUUUUGAACCGCAUGGUUCAAAAGUGAAAGACGGUCUUGCUGUCACUUAUAGAUGGAUCCGCGCUGCAUUAGCUAGUUGGUAAGGUAACGGCUUACCAAGGCAACGAUGCAUAGCCGACCUGAGAGGGUGAUCGGCCACACUGGAACUGAGACACGGUCCAGACUCCUACGGGAGGCAGCAGUAGGGAAUCUUCCGCAAUGGGCGAAAGCCUGACGGAGCAACGCCGCGUGAGUGAUGAAGGUCUUCGGAUCGUAAAACUCUGUUAUUAGGGAAGAACAUAUGUGUAAGUAACUGUGCACAUCUUGACGGUACCUAAUCAGAAAGCCACGGCUAACUACGUGCCAGCAGCCGCGGUAAUACGUAGGUGGCAAGCGUUAUCCGGAAUUAUUGGGCGUAAAGCGCGCGUAGGCGGUUUUUUAAGUCUGAUGUGAAAGCCCACGGCUCAACCGUGGAGGGUCAUUGGAAACUGGAAAACUUGAGUGCAGAAGAGGAAAGUGGAAUUCCAUGUGUAGCGGUGAAAUGCGCAGAGAUAUGGAGGAACACCAGUGGCGAAGGCGACUUUCUGGUCUGUAACUGACGCUGAUGUGCGAAAGCGUGGGGAUCAAACAGGAUUAGAUACCCUGGUAGUCCACGCCGUAAACGAUGAGUGCUAAGUGUUAGGGGUUUCCGCCCUUAGUGCUGCAGCUAACGCAUUAAGCACUCCGCCUGGGGAGUACGACCGCAAGGUUGAAACUCAAAGGAAUUGACGGGGACCCGCACAAGCGGUGGAGCAUGUGGUUUAAUUCGAAGCAACGCGAAGAACCUUACCAAAUCUUGACAUCCUUUGACAACUCUAGAGAUAGAGCUUUCCCCUUCGGGGGACAAAGUGACAGGUGGUGCAUGGUUGUCGUCAGCUCGUGUCGUGAGAUGUUGGGUUAAGUCCCGCAACGAGCGCAACCCUUAAGCUUAGUUGCCAUCAUUAAGUUGGGCACUCUAAGUUGACUGCCGGUGACAAACCGGAGGAAGGUGGGGAUGACGUCAAAUCAUCAUGCCCCUUAUGAUUUGGGCUACACACGUGCUACAAUGGACAAUACAAAGGGCAGCGAAACCGUGAGGUCAAGCAAAUCCCAUAAAGUUGUUCUCAGUUCGGAUUGUAGUCUGCAACUCGACUACAUGAAGCUGGAAUCGCUAGUAAUCGUAGAUCAGCAUGCUACGGUGAAUACGUUCCCGGGUCUUGUACACACCGCCCGUCACACCACGAGAGUUUGUAACACCCGAAGCCGGUGGAGUAACCUUUUAGGAGCUAGCCGUCGAAGGUGGGACAAAUGAUUGGGGUGAAGUCGUAACAAGGUAGCCGUAUCGGAAGGUGCGGCUGGAUCACCUCCUUUCU